UCCAGAUCCUGAAAAGGAGGGCGAAGAAUCAGUGGCCAAAUCUAACCGCUUCAUACUCACACUUCAUCCUCCUAUCUCCAGGCCACCAUGUCUGCAGUAAACGGCACCCCUUGGGGGUCCUCAGCGCGGGAGGAGGUCUGGGCAGGAUCGGGAGUGGAGGUGGAGGGCUCAGAGCUGCCCACCUUCUCGACAGCAGCAAAGGUCCGAGUGGGAGUGACCAUUGUGCUGUUUGUUUCUUCGGCUGGAGGGAACCUGGCUGUCCUGUGGUCAGUGACACGGCCGCAACCCAGCCAGCUCCGCCCCUCUCCGGUCAGGAGACUCUUCGCCCAUUUAGCAGCCGCCGACUUACUAGUCACUUUUGUGGUUAUGCCCCUAGAUGCCACCUGGAAUAUCACUGUUCAGUGGCUGGCUGGGGACAUCGCAUGUCGGACACUCAUGUUCCUGAAACUAAUGGCCAUGUAUGCUGCAGCUUUCCUGCCUGUGGUCAUUGGACUGGAUCGCCAGGCAGCAGUACUCAAUCCGCUUGGAUCCCGCUCAGGUGUAAGGAAACUUCUGGGGGCAGCCUGGGGACUUAGUUUCCUGCUUGCCUUGCCCCAGCUGUUCCUGUUCCAUACCGUCCACCGAGCUGGUCCAGUUCCCUUCACUCAGUGUGCCACCAAAGGGAGCUUCAAGGCUCGAUGGCAAGAGACCACCUAUAACCUCUUCACUUUCUGCUGCCUCUUUCUGCUGCCACUGACUGCCAUGGCCAUCUGCUAUAGCCGCAUUGUGCUCGGUGUGUCCAGCCCCCGGACAAGGAAGGGGAGCCAUGCCCCUGCCGGGGAAUUUGCCCUCCGCCGCUCCUUCGACAAUCGUCCCCAUGUCCGUCUCCGGGCCCUGAGACUGGCCCUGCUCGUCUUGCUGACCUUCAUCCUCUGCUGGACACCUUAUUACCUACUAGGUCUGUGGUACUGGUUCUCCCCAAGCAUGCUAAGUGAAGUCCCUCCCAGCCUCAGCCACAUCCUUUUCCUCUUUGGCCUCCUCAAUGCUCCUUUGGAUCCUCUCCUCUAUGGGGCCUUCACCCUUGGCUGCCGAAGAGGGCACCAAGAACUUAGUAUGGACUCUUCUAGGGAAGAAGGGUCUAGGAGAAUGUUCCAACAGGACAUUCAAGCCCUUAGACAAACGGAAGUACAAAAAACUGUGACAUCAAGAAAGGCAGGAGAAACAAAAGACAUUUCUAUAACAUCAAUCUGAUCCUAACACAGUAUAGAGAAACACAAUAAUUCUUUAAUACCAUAAGAUCUUAACGUCUCAAUUUCCUGCUCUCCUAAUCCCCCCCAAAAAGAAAUACUGAGCAGUGUCUCCAUUUUAAACCCUGCCUGAACUUGAGACUAUGUCUAAUACAGAAACUCACACAACUAGCCUGGGCAACACAGUGAGACCUCAUCUCUAUAGAAAUAUUAAAAGUUUAGCCAGGCAUGGUGGCAUGUGCCUGUAACCCCAGCUACUUGGGAGGGUGAGGCAGAAGGAUGGCUUGAGCCCAGGAGUUUGAAGCUUCAGUGAGCUAUGAUCGUGCAGCUGCCCUCCAGCCUGGACAACACAGCAAGACUCUAUCUCAAAAAAAGAAAAAAAGAAAUACAUACAGUUCAGUCCCUAGGAGUAUCUUCACAAUGCUCCAUACUGCCUUACUAUGCUUUAGAACUUUUAAUUUUAGGACAGGAAAGUAACAUUAAAUGUAGAAAACAAAAAAUUGAACAUUUAUUUGCAACUCAAAAGAAAUACUACACACAUAGGGUAAGAGAUUAAAUAUAAACACAGCAAGUUCCACCCCAGUCCUGUUUGUCCAAGCCUGCAUGGCCAAAUGGAAUCUUGAAGAGAACACCUGGACAACAGACGACCUGUCAGCGACGUCUCCGGUCUGGACUUCUGCUGCGUCUUCGGCCACCUCUAGGGAACAAAGAAGCAGGGAAAAGUCCAUUAGAGGGACAUAAUACUACGCCCUCAUUCUGUUUCGUUCGUAUUCCCUUCACCCAAACAGUGUUUGCCCUCUUCAUUUUACCUCCUCUUGCCUUUUGGUGGACCCCGAACAAAACACCAGUCAACACUGAUUGGCUGUCCCAUCAAAUCCUGGCCAUUGAGUCCCUCCAUAGCAGCCUGGGCCUCCUUGUAUGUUUCAUACUCAACUAGAGUAUACCCCUGGGGAAAGUGAAAAGACAGAUAUGAAAACCCUCCUAUUUCCCCAAGCAUCACUGAGUAUCCUUUUCCUCAAAUUCAAUCUCAGAAAAACCUAUAAACUUUAAGCAAUGAAUGUACAUCAUAUAUCUCUACUGUAUAUAUUCAUCAUGUCUGUUUCUGUCUCUUCCGUGUCUGAUAAAACAUGGAUUUCCAAUGUCAUUUUAUUUCAACUUUGCUCCAACCACAUCAAACACAGAACUACCAAUACUAAGAGUUAUGAAAGAAGAGAGGCAAUGAAGUAUCACUUCAUUGGAUACCUUCAGAUAUCCUGUUCGCCUGUCGAGGUUGAGGUGAAUGUUUUUAAUUUCCCCAUAUUCUGCGAAUUUGUCGUGUAUAUCUUCUUCAGUGGCUUCCUCGUGGACUCCAGUAACAAAGAGAAUCCAGCCUUCAACAGCUGUUGAGGGACGGAGGGAAGUUGUCUAAGUACAUGAGAGAAACACUUCAAGCAGGCUCACAGGAGUGGACUGAGUGCGGAUUCAGAUUGUUUUUGUUUUUGAGAUGGAGUCUUGCUCUGUCACCAGGCUGGAGUGCAGUGGCGCAAUGUCUGCUCACUGAAUCUCCACCUCCUGGGUUCAAGCGCUUCCCCUGCCUCAGCCUCCCGAGUAGCUGGGACUAAAGGCGUUCACUACCACGCCUGGCUAAUUUUUUGUAUUUCAGUAGAGACGGGGUUUCACCAGGUUGGCCAGGAUGGACUCGAUCUCUUGAUCUCAUAAUCCAGCCGCCUAGGCUUCCCUAAGUGCUGGAAUUACAGGUGUGAGCCCACUGCACCAGGCCAGGGAUUGUUUAAACUAUCUCUGAAUCCAUUUCUACUGCGUUUAACUAUUUUAUUGGUUUCUAACUACCAUAAACACGGAUAACUCACAGGUUCCAUUAUUACUCACAGCGUUGUGGCCCGGGUUCAUCGCCAUCCUGCUCCACGCUGUCAUAAUCCUCACGCAUCCGCGCUCGGGACCCCUCUUCUAUAAGGGACAGACACGAGAUCACCGAAACCUCCUCCUUUCUCCCAUUGUUCCUAUGAGUUAGGUGGGGACUCCAAAACCCGCAGCUCUACCCGACUUUGCCCACACUCACCGGAGCCAAAGCCGCGGCCCUUCCGUUUCUUCGCUUUUUCUUUUAGUUUGUGAAUGCUCUCUGGAGCCCAAGAAAAGAAGAGACCGCCUCCACUGUCCUCACCGUCCCCAUCCUCAUCCAUGGCGAAAUCUUCGCCCCCGGCCUCGUGAAGAUCUAGCACGUCCGCCAUCUUGCCUUCGAUGGAGCUCUCGUCUGUGCCGCUCAAACACUAGGCACCUCGGGAAACUGUCGCAGAGGGGAAAGGUCACCAGUGAAGCUGACCAAUCAAAGGCUAACUCUAAAUCCCGCCCUCGGCACGGUAAAAAUACGCAAUGGGGGCGGGCCUAGUUCAGGAAGAUGCCGGAAGUGUUUCUGUGGCCAUCUUGAGCAGGUCGCGAGCUAAAUGCUGCCAUGUUGGGAGGUACCGAUUACAGGGGUUAGUUGCCUCCUCUUAGCCGCCGCAGCUGUUGAGAAAUACUGUACUAUUCACAGUAAGGAUCGGCGUAAUUUCCUUGUUAGAGGGCUUCAUCCCAAUCCGGGAAAUGGUAACUGAAGAAACUUUUUCAAAAAUUCCAGGCCUUUACCCUGUUCCGAGGCAGAGUGCUGUAUGAUAGGAGCGUUUCUAAAAAAUAGUUUGAUAUAAAGCGGCAUCUUCUGAGGUAAGAAAAAAAAGAAAAAAAAAUAGUUUGAUAGCAGUGCGGGCACGAAUAACUGCUUCUGAAACAUUCUGCAGCACCGAAUUUGUCUUCAAGAAACUAACAGACCUGGUUGCAAUACGAUUGGUGAGACAGAUAUCAGGGGUUUUUUGUUUUUAAACUCCCUACCUGUAAUCCCAGCUACCCAGGAGGCUGAGCCAGGAGAAUCGCUUGAACCCGGGUGGUGGAGGUUUGCAGUGAGCCGAGAUCAGGCCGCUGCACUACAGCUUGGGUGACAGAGCGAGACUCCGUCUCAAAAAAAAAAAAAAAAGAUAAAACUCCCUUAAUACUUCUGGGAAUUACUCGUAUUAGCUUUUAAAUUAUAUCAAUUAUGGCCUUCAGCAAAAUAGGGGCUUUAUCUUUUUUUCAGGAUGGUACAGGUAUUUCACGUUUGCAAACCUCAGAUUUGAAACAGUGGCCCCCCAAAUUCUGGAAUCCUGAUGUAAACCUUAAAAAGUAGUGGGCCAGAUUCACUUAUUUCUGAAUGCCUGCAUGGAUGUCUAAUAUUAAAGGAGUUGCUGGCAAUAAAAGGGCAAAUAAUUACAUUAUAAACAUUGUAUGAGAGUGAUAAUUGCUGUCAUAAAGUGCUGUGGCAGUACAAGGAAAGUUUCUAGGAACUGCAAGAACUUCGGGUUUCAAUUGGACCUUUGAGGCUAAGUACUUUUCCAGGCAAAGAAGUUGUAUUGAGAUUAGGAGACCCUUCUGUGGGAAAACUGAAAAUUAAAAGUGAGAAAGAGGGCCGGGUGCACUGGCUCAUGCCUGUAAUCCCAGCACUUUGGGAGGCGGAGGCUGUUGGAUCACCUGAGGUCAGGAGUUUGAGAGUAGCCUGGCCAACAUGGCGAAACCCCAUCUCUACUAAAAAUACAAAAUUUAACUGGGCAUGGUGGAGUGCACCCGUAAUCCCAGCUACUCGAGAGGCUGAGGCAGGAGAAUCACUUGAACCCGGGAGAGGAGGUUGCAAGCGAGUUGAGAUCUCACCACUGCCCUCCAGCUUGGGUGACAGACUGAGACUCCAUCUCCAAAAAAAUAAAUAAAUAAAAUAAAGAAAAAGAAUAAAGUGAAAAAUAAAAUUUAAAAAGCAAUUAGGAGACACUAAUGCAUUUUCACAGUAGGUAGUGUGACCGUCUUAAAAAUCAGUGUGGUUACAUACCUACUAACUCCCCCCCGCCCCGUAACUUUUUUUUUGAGACAGAGUCUUGCUAUGUCGCCCAGACUGGAGUGUAGUGGUGCAAUCUUGGCUCGCUGCAACCUCAACUUGUUGCAGUCUCCGCCUCCUGGGUUCCAGGGAUUCUCCCGCCUCAGCCUCCUGAGUAGCUGGGAAUACAGGCGCCUGCCACCACACUGGCCUAAUUUUCGUAUUUUUAGUAGAGACGGGGUUUCACGAUGUUGGCCAGGAUAGUCUCGAUCUCCUGACCUCGUGAUCUGCCCACCUCAGCCUCCCAAAGUGCUGGAAUUACAGGCAUGAGCCACUGCUCUGAGCCAAAAACCCUUUUUUGUUAGAGGGGUCUGGCUAUAUUGCCCAGGCUGGCCUGAAACUCUUGGGCAUGAAGGAUCCUCUGGUGUCCCAAGCAGCUGGGACUACAGGCAUGUAACCCUGCACCUGGCUCUUCCCUUGGCUUUUUGCUGCACUUAGAAUAAAAAUUCAAACUCACACAGCCAGCUUGGCCUGUGUCUUCAACCUGUUCAACCACCAUUCUUCCCUGUUACCCAUUGAGCUCGCCCUACACUUUCAGUCAACUGUGGUGUACUCUUUCUCAUCCCAGGGCUUUUGCAGCUUUUUUAAAAAUUUGAGAUGGAGUCUUGUUCUCUCGCCCAGACUUGACUGCAGUGAUGUGAUAUUACCUUACUGCAACCUCCGCCUCCUGGGUUCAAGCUUUCUCCUGCCUUAGCCUCCUGAGUAGCUGGGACUACAGGCGUGUGCCACUACACCUAGCUAAUUUUUGUAUUUCUAGUAGAGAUGGGGUUUCUCCCUGUUAGUCAGGCUGGUCUUGAACUCCUGACCUCAGGUGAUCUGACAGUCUCAGCCUUCCAAAGUGCUGGGAUUACAGGCAUGAGCCACUAUGCCUACCACUAACUUGUUUUUCCCAUUAAAAUUAAUCCUUAUGGCAGAGAUAGUUAUUUACAGCUAAAACCCCCAAAGUUUAGCCCAGUGUCUGGCUCGUAGUAGACAUUUGGUACUUACUGAAUGAAUGGAUAUUAGAAUAGCAAGAAAUUCUGUCUUCCUGCUGUUAUGUAACUGGAAAAUAAAGCUGGAAAUACAGUUUAAGGUCUGCUAUGCUAAGGAUUUUGGAAUUUAUCCUAUAAGCAAGAAAUUACCUACUUCAAAUAUUUAAGUAUUCAUGGUUUUUAAUAUUUGCAAAUAGUCCCCAUACUAGUUUUUGCUUAUUUUCCCUUAGACUGACUUUAAACAUAAAUUUACACUGAAUAGAAAAUCAAUAUUUUUCUAUUACAAAUUUAGAUAAAAGUGAGCUCUUAAUUUGUUUUUAAUUCUGAAAAACUCUGCUUCUUGGCAUCCAGGAAUUAUAGACUGAGCCUUUCAUCUUCUUUCUCAAAACUAGUUUUUGAUGCUAUCUUUCAAGGGAAUAGUCACUUUAUAAUUUUGUUUAAUAAACUGCAUUGCUGGAAUCACAACCAACCAAAUUUAGAUAAAAGCAUAACUAUUAAAAACUGUUUGCCGGGCAGGCGUGGGCUCAUGCCUGUAAUCCCAGCACUUUGGGAUCCCGAAGCAGGCAGAUCACGAGGUCAGGAGUUCAAGACCAGAUUGGCCAAUAUGGUGAAGCCCUGUCUCUACUAAAAAAUACAAAAAUUAGCUGGGCAUGGUGGCUCAUGACUGUAAUCCCAGCUACUUGGGAGGCUGAGGUAGGAGAAUUGCUUGAACUGGGACCCGGGAGACAGAGGUUGCAGUGAGCCAAGAUCGCACCACUGCACUCUACCUGGGCUACAGAGCGAGACUCCAUCUCAAAAAAAACAAAAACAAAAACUGUUUGCCCAUCUAUCAUCUAAAAUAAUCUCAGGAACACAUAUAAAACUGGGAAAUGGUAGGCUGGGCAUUGUAGCUCAUGACUGUAAUGCCAGCACUUUGGGAGGCCAAGGUGGGUGAAUAGCUUGAGUUCAAGAGUUCAAGACCAGGCUGGGCAACAUAGCAAGACCCCAUCUCUAAAAAAAAAAAAAUUAGUUGGGUAUGGUGGUGUGUGCAGAGUAGUACCAGCUACUCUGAAGGUUAAGGUGGGAGGAUCCCUUGAGCCUGGGAGGCAGAGUUGCAGUGAGCCAAAAUCACGCCACUGCAUUCUGGCCUGGGCAUUAGAGUGAGACCCUGUCUCAAAAACAAACAAACAAAAACACUGGGAAAUGCUGCUAAAGGUAGAUAGCUAAGUGAAGGCUUAAGCAAGGGAGUGUCACAGUCAUAAGUAUUUUAUAAAGAAAUACGACAGUAGUAAAAAUUACAAAAAAAGAAAAAAAAAGAUAACGACAGUAGUACGGAGCAUGCUAAGAUCAGAGGUGAAAACCAGCUGGGAAGCUAUAGCAGUGAUCCAGUCUGGAGAUGAGAAAGGACCGAACCUAAACUAAGGCAGCAGAUACAGACAAAACAUAUCAGGAGGUAGGCCGGGCACGGUGGCUCACACCUGUAAUCCCAGCACUGUGGGAGGUCAAGGCGGGCGGAUCACCCGAGGUCAGGAGUUUGAGAGCAGUCUCACCAACAUGGUGAAACCCCGUCUCUGCUAAAAAUACAAAAAUUUGCCAGGUGUGGUGUUGGGUGCCUGUAAUCCAAGCUAUUAGGGAGGCUGAGGCAAGAAAAUCGCUUGAACCGGGGAGGUAGAGGUUGUAGUGAACUGAGAUUACACCAUUGCGGUACAGCCUGGGUGAGAAAAGCAAAACUCCAUCUCAAAAAUAAAAACAAAUUUAUAUAUAUGUAUUAGGAGAUUAGAGGGCGGGGUGAAAAAAAGGAGAUGAGGAGGUAGACUCAACAGUGACUGGUUAGAGUGUGGUAGAGAAGAGUUGAGGGUGGGUCUGAGGCGUGUGGCUUACGUAACAGGGUAGACAAUAAUUCGAAUAAUAGAUCUAGAGAGUCAAAGAGGAAUGAGUAUGGAGAAAUAGAUUUUAUUUUAGAUCUGUUUCAAAGUGCUUUUGUCAUAUUCAGGUGGCCAUGUCUAGUAUGCAGAAAAUAGAUGUAAAAGCUCAAAACAGGUUGGGGAAGAAAUAGAUUUGAGAGUCAUGUGUAUAGUGGAAUUGAAGCCACCACAGUGGAUGAGAUUGCCAGUCGCGGGGUAGAGCUUGAGGAGAAAGGGCCAAGGACAAAGUCCAGGUGAAAUGUCUGGAGAAAGGGAGGCAGGCUGCCUUUCCCCAGCUGAACAAUCAUUUCUACCACCCCAAACAUGCUAAUACAAAUUCUUAUUUAUUAUAUAUGUAAAAGGGCAGGGAUGUUUUAGAACUUCUCUUGAUAGAUACGUCUCAAGAAAGAGUCAGUCUGGCUCACUAGACAAAAAUCUAUUUUUAAUUGUAUAAAAUUAUACAUAUAAAAUACAUAGAAUGUACUAAGAAGAUGAGUAAAAUCUUUGACACCGAAAGUGGACAGAUCAGGAAACAAUUUUUCUCAAGCUGUUUGGGAAUCUUACUGGUUGGUAUUUGAGGAAAGUAAUAAAUCCAGGAGGUACAAGGGCAAUUCUUCCCACAACUCACAGCACUUAACCCACACUUCUUCUCAGAGAAGGGAGCACAGGAGAAGCUGGAGCGUUGACGAGUGCAGGUUAUAAAUAUCCACACAAACACACACACCUGGUACGUCUAGCAGUUUGUGCUUUAGUCCAACCCACCGUGUGUUUCAUGGAAUACAAAGAUGGGACUUCAGAACUCUACCUCUCUUCUGAUUGGUAAGAAAAAAAUAAUGAUGAGGCCUGGAGAAUUCAAGGAAGCCUGUUUCAAGCCCCAGUAAAAGUGUAGCUGGAUUCCCUACCUCUAAUCCCAUAGUACUCGUCACCAUGAUUUCAAAAGCAAGAAGCUGCCUUUCAUCUUGCCUCUAUCAAAUCCAAAAGAGCAAAUGAUGGCCCAGUUCCUAAUCUAUUUCUUUUUGUUGUUACACUUGAACUUUCUGUUUGGAACCUAAUCUUUUCUAAGGGUAAAGUGUAUAAUUGUUAAGUGGAAAGUCCAAUUGCAGGAAAACUAAACUUCCCAUGCUCAGUUUAGAAAGUACAUGGAACAAUAAUGUGGUAUAAAAGAGAUGACAGAAACAAGGGGGAUAUGUCUAUUAGAGACCUCCAAAAAAUUCUCCCAAAGGAGACCACUUUAGCUACUCUACUCCAGUUUGUUUUUCUCUUAUGUCACCCAGGAGAGAGGUGGGGAAGAAUGGUAUUAAAGACACAGAUAGGCUGGGCACGGUGGCUCAUGCCUGUAAUCCCAGCACUGUGGGAGGCCAAGGCAGGUGGAUCACCUGAUGUCAGGAGUUCAAGACCAGCCUGGCCAACAUGGUGAAACCUUGUCUCUACUAAAAAUACAAAAUGUAGCCAGGCAAGGUGGCAUGUGCCUGUAAUCCCAGCUGCUCGGGAGGCUGAGGCAGGAGAAUCACUUGAACCUGGGAGGUGGAGGUCACAGUGAGCUGAGAUCAUGCCAUUGCACUCCUGCCUGAGUAACAGUGCAAGACUCUGUAUCCAGGAAAAAAAAACACACACACACACAAAUAGUUGAUCAUUGAUUCUCUUUCCCUUCCUGCAGCCUCUGAAGGUAUCAAUUAGGAAGUGCCAAAAUACUAAAGUCUCAUUUAAUUUUUCUGAUGAACUCAUAUUCAUGUAGAACAAGAGGAAAGAAAAGAGAGAAAACAAGUGAGACUCUAAGGCAGUAAACAGCAGCAACGUAGCGGGAAUAUGGGGAACAUGGUCCUCACUAACCAAAUAGGACUGAUGACGCUUCCAAAAAAUAAAAUGUUGGCUGAAGGGAAAUAUGGAAAUAUGUUUUACCUUCUACUAAUAUCUGCAGGCAGGAAGGUCUAAACACAGGGUUUAACUAAGCUGGGUGAGGAGGGGAGAUGUGCAGAAGAAAUACUGAAAGAUAAUCAGUUUCAAACAAAACCCCCAUCUUACUGUAGCGUAUAGCCAGAAAUCUAGACCAUUAGUAUGGUAUGCAUAUGCCCUAGAAGCAACUUGGGUAGUAAACUCCCAUGAACUGUUUGUAAUUUACCUUGUCCCUGGGCAGUUUCUUAGGAGUGGUUUCAGAAGCAAGAUCUCUUCUUCCUUCAGAAUAGUAAGGUAGGGAAGCCUGAAAACAAAGCGGCAUUUGGAGGCAGCGAGGAGUAAGGUAGCGGUGGGAGGAAAGGGAUACCAAGCAGGUUCGGUUCAAGAACUAAAGGCAGGAUCUUCAUACUCGUACCAUGUUGGAGCCCAAGAGGAAGCAGGAGUGAGAGUAAGGAUGGGGCAUAUAAUCCUCAUCCUGAUACUUGAAAAGACUGAGAUACAUGAACACCGAGCCAAUCUUGGUGCUACUGAAAUGACUACAGAAGUCACUGGCAGUUUAGGAGCUAACAAAGCUUCAAAGACCACCUGCUCUUUCUUGUAAAGUGGAGUAAAGGUGUUGCAAAUAAAAGUGCAUCCAAAAGCUGGAAGUAAGAAAAGGGGUCUCUUAGCAAAUAGGAAUCUAGGUGUAGAAUUUAUACAUGUACAUAUAUAUAUAUAUAUAUAUAUAUAUUUAAG
Molecule: non-coding RNA, 10633 nt
Organism: Callithrix jacchus (white-tufted-ear marmoset)
Lineage: Eukaryota; Metazoa; Chordata; Mammalia; Primates; Cebidae
Source: RefSeq, a predicted model, not a curated record